Molecule: ribosomal RNA, 400 nt
Filed under: uncultured bacterium
Lineage: Bacteria
Description: bacterial SSU rRNA
Rfam family: Bacterial small subunit ribosomal RNA
Source: RNAcentral
CUAAGAAUCUUCCGCAAUGGACGAAAGUCUGACGGAGCGACACCGCGUGGGUGAAGAAGGCGGAAACGUUGUAAAGCCCUUUUAUGGAUGAGGAAUAAGGCUGGGAGGGAAUGCCCGGCUGAUGACGGUAGUCCAGGAAUAAGCCCCGGCUAAUUACGUGCCAGCAGCCGCGGUAACACGUAUGGGGCGAGCGUUGUUCGGAAUUAUUGGGCGUAAAGGGCAUGCAGGCGGUUCUGCAAGUCUGGUGUGUAAUCUCCCGGCUCAACUGGGAAGACGCGCUGGAAACUGUGGGACUAGAGUACCGGAGGGGUAGCUGGAAUUCCAGGUGUAGGGGUGAAAUCUGUAGAUAUCUGGAAGAACAUCAAUGGCGAAGGCAAGCUACUGGCCAGGUACUGACGCU